This 386-nucleotide ribosomal RNA is filed under the name uncultured bacterium. Its description in RNAcentral is "bacterial SSU rRNA". It matches the Rfam family "Bacterial small subunit ribosomal RNA", at positions 30 to 416 of the family's 1533-position model. The record is from RNAcentral.
AUUGAACGCUGGCGGCAUGCCUUACACAUGCAAGUCGAACGGCAGCACGGGAGCAAUCCUGGUGGCGAGUGGCGAACGGGUGAGUAAUGUAUCGGAACGUACCUUCCAGUGGGGGAUAACGUAGCGAAAGUUACGCUAAUACCGCAUAUUCUGUGAGCAGGAAAGCAGGGGAUCGCAAGACCUUGCGCUGAUUGAGCGGCCGAUAUCAGAUUAGCUAGUUGGUGAGGUAAAGGCUCACCAAGGCGACGAUCUGUAGCGGGUCUGAGAGGAUGAUCCGCCACACUGGAACUGAGACACGGUCCAGACUCCUACGGGAGGCAGCAGUGGGGAAUUUUGGACAAUGGGCGCAAGCCUGAUCCAGCCAUGCCGCGUGAGUGAAGAAGGCC